This 1388-nucleotide ribosomal RNA is filed under the name Streptococcus thermophilus. Its description in RNAcentral is "bacterial SSU rRNA". It matches the Rfam family "Bacterial small subunit ribosomal RNA", at positions 50 to 1422 of the family's 1533-position model. Lineage: Bacteria; Bacillati; Bacillota; Bacilli; Lactobacillales; Streptococcaceae. The record is from RNAcentral.
UAUACAUGCAAGUAGAACGCUGAAGAGAGGAGCUUGCUCUUCUUGGAUGAGUUGCGAACGGGUGAGUAACGCGUAGGUAACCUGCCUUGUAGCGGGGGAUAACUAUUGGAAACGAUAGCUAAUACCGCAUAACAAUGGAUGACACAUGUCAUUUAUUUGAAAGGGGCAAUUGCUCCACUACAAGAUGGACCUGCGUUGUAUUAGCUAGUAGGUGAGGUAAUGGCUCACCUAGGCGACGAUACAUAGCCGACCUGAGAGGGUGAUCGGCCACACUGGGACUGAGACACGGCCCAGACUCCUACGGGAGGCAGCAGUAGGGAAUCUUCGGCAAUGGGGGCAACCCUGACCGAGCAACGCCGCGUGAGUGAAGAAGGUUUUCGGAUCGUAAAGCUCUGUUGUAAGUCAAGAACGGGUGUGAGAGUGGAAAGUUCACACUGUGACGGUAGCUUACCAGAAAGGGACGGCUAACUACGUGCCAGCAGCCGCGGUAAUACGUAGGUCCCGAGCGUUGUCCGGAUUUAUUGGGCGUAAAGCGAGCGCAGGCGGUUUGAUAAGUCUGAAGUUAAAGGCUGUGGCUCAACCAUAGUUCGCUUUGGAAACUGUCAAACUUGAGUGCAGAAGGGGAGAGUGGAAUUCCAUGUGUAGCGGUGAAAUGCGUAGAUAUAUGGAGGAACACCGGUGGCGAAAGCGGCUCUCUGGUCUGUAACUGACGCUGAGGCUCGAAAGCGUGGGGAGCGAACAGGAUUAGAUACCCUGGUAGUCCACGCCGUAAACGAUGAGUGCUAGGUGUUGGAUCCUUUCCGGGAUUCAGUGCCGCAGCUAACGCAUUAAGCACUCCGCCUGGGGAGUACGACCGCAAGGUUGAAACUCAAAGGAAUUGACGGGGGCCCGCACAAGCGGUGGAGCAUGUGGUUUAAUUCGAAGCAACGCGAAGAACCUUACCAGGUCUUGACAUCCCGAUGCUAUUUCUAGAGAUAGAAAGUUACUUCGGUACAUCGGUGACAGGUGGUGCAUGGUUGUCGUCAGCUCGUGUCGUGAGAUGUUGGGUUAAGUCCCGCAACGAGCGCAACCCCUAUUGUUAGUUGCCAUCAUUCAGUUGGGCACUCUAGCGAGACUGCCGGUAAUAAACCGGAGGAAGGUGGGGAUGACGUCAAAUCAUCAUGCCCCUUAUGACCUGGGCUACACACGUGCUACAAUGGUUGGUACAACGAGUUGCGAGUCGGUGACGGCGAGCUAAUCUCUUAAAGCCAAUCUCAGUUCGGAUUGUAGGCUGCAACUCGCCUACAUGAAGUCGGAAUCGCUAGUAAUCGCGGAUCAGCACGCCGCGGUGAAUACGUUCCCGGGCCUUGUACACACCGCCCGUCACACCACGAGAGUUUGUAACACCC